This 252-nucleotide ribosomal RNA is filed under the name uncultured bacterium. Its description in RNAcentral is "partial 16S ribosomal RNA". It matches the Rfam family "Bacterial small subunit ribosomal RNA", at positions 524 to 776 of the family's 1533-position model. The record is from RNAcentral.
UACAGAGGUCCCAAGCGUUGUUCGGAUUUACUGGGCGUAAAGGGUGCGUAGGUGGCGGGGUAAGUCUGGUGUGAAAGCUCCGAGCUCAACUCGGAAAAGCAUUGGAAACUAUCUCGCUGGAGGGUCGGAGGGGAGACUGGAAUUCUCGGUGUAGCAGUGAAAUGCGUAGAUAUCGAGAGGAAGACCAGUGGCGAAGGCGAAUCUCUGGACAGUUACUGACACUGAGGCACGAAGGCCAGGGGAGCAAACGGG